UUUCCGUUGGUGAACCAGCGGACGGAUCAUUACAGAGAUCAUGCCCUUCGGGGUAGACCUCCCACCCUGUGUUAUUUACGAUUGUUGCUUUGGCAGGCCGCCUUCGGGCACUCGGCUCCGGCUGAGGUGCGCCUGCCAGAGGACCCCCAACUCUGUGUUUAGUGUUGUCUGAGCAUUAUAUUUAAUAAGUUAAAACUUUCAAAAACGGAUCUCUUGGUUCUGGCAUCGAUGAAGAGCGCAGC
This 242-nucleotide unclassified non-coding RNA is filed under the name uncultured fungus. RNAcentral's name for it is "sequence contains ITS1, 5.8S rRNA gene". The stretch from base 194 to 242 matches the Rfam family "5.8S ribosomal RNA", at positions 1 to 49 of the family's 154-position model. The record is from RNAcentral. Lineage: Eukaryota; Fungi.